This 571-nucleotide ribosomal RNA is filed under the name uncultured eukaryote. RNAcentral's name for it is "bacterial SSU rRNA". It matches the Rfam family "Eukaryotic small subunit ribosomal RNA", at positions 372 to 962 of the family's 1831-position model. The record is from RNAcentral.
AGGGUUCGAUUCCGGAGAGGGAGCCUGAGAAACGGCUACCACAUCUAAGGAAGGCAGCAGGCGCGCAAAUUACCCAAUCCUGACUCAGGGAGGUAGUGACAAGAAAUAACAACACGGGGCACUAUAGUUGCUUUGUGAUUGGAAUGAGGUUAGUAUAAACCCCUUGCCAAGUAUCAAUUGGAGGGCAAGUCUGGUGCCAGCAGCCGCGGUAAUUCCAGCUCCAAUAGCGUAUAUUAGAGUUGUUGCAGUUAAAAAGCUCGAAGUUGAAUUUCUGCUGCGGCGACCUCGUGAUGCUAUGCGUUGUGUGUGUCGCUUCAGCAUUUUCCUUUGCACUGCACUUUAUUGUGUGUGUGUUGGGGAAGCUUUACUUUGAGAAAAAUAGAGUGUUUCAAGCAGGCUGUGCCUUGAAUACUGCAGCAUGGAAUAAUGAGAUAGACCUGCAUUCCUAUUUCGUUGGUUUUGAGGAAUGAGUGAUGAUUAAUAGGGAUAGUUGGGGGCAUUUGUAUUCGACUGUCANAGGUGAAAUUCUUANAUUUGUCNAANACAGACAACUGCNAAAGCAUUUGCCAAA